This 497-nucleotide ribosomal RNA is filed under the name uncultured bacterium. RNAcentral's name for it is "partial 16S ribosomal RNA". It matches the Rfam family "Bacterial small subunit ribosomal RNA", at positions 28 to 507 of the family's 1533-position model. The record is from RNAcentral.
GAUGAACGCUGGCGGCGUGCCUAAUACAUGCAAGUCGAGCGAACGGACGAGAAGCUUGCUUCUCUGAUGUUAGCGGCGGACGGGUGAGUAACACGUGGAUAACCUACCUAUAAGACUGGGAUAACUUCGGGAAACCGGAGCUAAUACCGGAUAAUAUUUUGAACCGCAUGGUUCAAAAGUGAAAGACGGUCUUGCUGUCACUUAUAGAUGGAUCCGCGCUGCAUUAGCUAGUUGGUAAGGUAACGGCUUACCAAGGCAACGAUGCAUAGCCGACCUGAGAGGUUGAUCGGCCACACUGGACCUGAGACACGGUCCAGACUCCUACGGGAGGCAGCAUUAGGGAAUCUUCCGCAAUGGGCGAAAGCCUGACGGAGCAACGCCGCGUGAGUGACGAAGGUCUUCGGCUCGUAAAACUCUGUUAUUAGGGAAGAACAUAUGUGUAAGUAACUGUGCACAUCUUGACGGUACCUAAUCAGAAAGCCACGGCUAACUACGUG